RNAcentral lists this ribosomal RNA (684 nucleotides) under uncultured cyanobacterium. Its description in RNAcentral is "bacterial SSU rRNA". It matches the Rfam family "Bacterial small subunit ribosomal RNA", at positions 119 to 836 of the family's 1533-position model. The record is from RNAcentral. Lineage: Bacteria; Bacillati; Cyanobacteriota.
GAGAAUCUGGCUUUAGGUCUGGGACAACCACUGGAAACGGUGGCUAAUACCGGAUGUGCCGAAAGGUGAAAGGUUAACUGCCUGAAGAUGAGCUCGCGUCUGAUUAGCUAGUAGGUGUGGUAAAGGCGCACCUAGGCGACGAUCAGUAGCUGGUCUGAGAGGACGAUCAGCCACACUGGGACUGAGACACGGCCCAGACUCCUACGGGAGGCAGCAGUGGGGAAUUUUCCGCAAUGGGCGAAAGCCUGACGGAGCAAUACCGCGUGAGGGAAGAAGGCUCUUGGGUCGUAAACCUCUUUUCUCAGGGAAGAACACAAUGACGGUACCUGAGGAAUAAGCAUCGGCUAACUCCGUGCCAGCAGCCGCGGUAAUACGGAGGAUGCAAGCGUUAUCCGGAAUGAUUGGGCGUAAAGCGUCCGCAGGUGGCUGUGUAAGUCUGCUGUUAAAGAGUCUAGCUCAACUAGAUAAGAGCAGUGGAAACUACACGGCUAGAGUACGUUCGGGGCAGAGGGAAUUCCUGGUGUAGCGGUGAAAUGCGUAGAGAUCAGGAAGAACACCAGUGGCGAAGGCGCUCUGCUAGGCCGUAACUGACACUGAGGGACGAAAGCUAGGGGAGCGAAUGGGAUUAGAUACCCCAGUAGUCCUAGCCGUAAACGAUGGAUACUAGGCGUGGCUUGUAUCGAC